This 361-nucleotide ribosomal RNA is filed under the name uncultured bacterium. Its description in RNAcentral is "bacterial SSU rRNA". It matches the Rfam family "Bacterial small subunit ribosomal RNA", at positions 29 to 414 of the family's 1533-position model. The record is from RNAcentral.
AACGAACGCUGGCGGCAGGCUUAAUACAUACAAGUCGAACGGGCGCAGCAAUGCGUCAGUGGCAGACGGGUGAGUAACACGUGGGAACCUUCCUCGUUGAACGGAACAACUCAGGGAAACUUGAGCUAAUACCGUAUAAGUCCGAGAGGAGAAAGAUUUAUCGCAAUGAGACGGGCCCGCGUCGGAUUAGGUAGUUGGUGAGGUAACGGCUCACCAAGCCAACGAUCCGUAGCUGANCUGAGAGGAUGAUCAGCCACACUGGGACUGAGACACGGCCCAGACUCCUACGGGAGGCAGCAGUAGGGAAUCUUGGACAAUGGGCGCAAGCCUGAUCCAGCCAUGCCGCGUGAGUGAAAGAAGG